GCCCGGAUGGUGAAAUUGGUAGACACAAGGGAUUUAAAAUCCCUCGGCGUUCGCGCUGUGCGGGUUCAAGUCCCGCUCCGGGCA
This 84-nucleotide transfer RNA is filed under the name Gallaecimonas xiamenensis 3-C-1. RNAcentral's name for it is "Gallaecimonas sp. 3-C-1 tRNA". It matches the Rfam family "tRNA". From Rfam's summary of the family: Transfer RNA (tRNA) molecules are approximately 80 nucleotides in length. Their secondary structure includes four short double-helical elements and three loops (D, anti-codon, and T loops). The record is from Rfam by way of RNAcentral. Lineage: Bacteria; Pseudomonadati; Pseudomonadota; Gammaproteobacteria; Enterobacterales; Gallaecimonadaceae.